ACCUGGGAUAGCUCAGUUGGGAGAGCAAAAGGCUCUUAAUUUCAGGGUCAUCGGUUCAAGCCCUGCGUUGGGCA
This is a non-coding RNA of Podarcis lilfordi (Lilford's wall lizard), 74 nucleotides long. The record is from the annotation of a GenBank genome assembly. Lineage: Eukaryota; Metazoa; Chordata; Lepidosauria; Squamata; Lacertidae.